RNAcentral lists this ribosomal RNA (958 nucleotides) under Azana anomala. RNAcentral describes it as "eukaryotic LSU rRNA". It matches the Rfam family "Eukaryotic large subunit ribosomal RNA", at positions 49 to 812 of the family's 3401-position model. Lineage: Eukaryota; Metazoa; Arthropoda; Insecta; Diptera; Mycetophilidae. The record is from RNAcentral.
UAGGAAGGAAAAGAAAUUAACAAAGAUUCCUUUAGUAGCGGCGAGCGAAACAGGAAAAGCCCAGCACUAAGCCCUCCAGUCGUCCUGGCUGGCAGGGGAUGCAGUGUAUGGAAAGUCUAUUAUCUUAUAUGACAGUGAUACGUUCAAGUCCAUCUUGAAUGGGGCCAUUUUACCCAUAGAGGGUGCCAGGCCCGUAGUAGCUAUUACUAGUAUAAGAAGAUUUUUCCAAAGAGUCGUGUUGCUUGAUAGUGCAGCACUAAGUUGGUGGUAAACUCCAUCUAAGGCUAAAUAUAACCACGAGACCGAUAGCGAACAAGUACCGUGAGGGAAAGUUGAAAAGCACUCUGAAUAGAGAGUUAAAUAGUACGUGAAACCGCUUAGGGGUUAAACCCGAUGAACCUGAAUAUCUGAAUUGGGAAAUUCAAUACUAAUUUAUUUGGUACUGUGUAAUAGCAAUAUUAAAUGAUGGUAUGCACUUUUCCCAUAGUAAGACAUUGCGAUCCAUUAAUGAUUAAUUUUUAUCAAACGGCCCGCAAGUAUAGUUUGUUCAUUUGUUUAAUAACUUUUACCGGUUAUUUUAUCUGGAAUAAUACUAUGUGGUGUCCUGAUAAAUAGUUGAUGGAGCUUAAAAAUCAUGCUAACAUGCACAAUGUAUCACGGUUUGUAUAAUAUAUUGUUAUGCGAAUGCGGUGAUAGCAUGUAUUUGAUCAGCAAUGCGAUAGAUUUAGGAUACCUUCGGGACCCGUCUUGAAACACGGACCAAGAAGUCUAACAUGUGUGUAAGUUAUUGGGUAUUGUUGUGUAUAAACCUAAAGGCGUAAUUAAAAUAACUAUUUUAAUGGGAUUACAAGCAAUUGUGUUUACAUAAUUGUUUCUCCAUCCCGGGGCGUUCUAUAUGGAACAUGGUUUAAGCAAUUGAAUCCUCUGUUUCGGAGCGUACCUUGAACAUACAUGCUGU